This 253-nucleotide ribosomal RNA is filed under the name uncultured bacterium. RNAcentral describes it as "partial 16S ribosomal RNA". It matches the Rfam family "Bacterial small subunit ribosomal RNA", at positions 524 to 776 of the family's 1533-position model. The record is from RNAcentral.
UACGUAGGGUGCAAGCGUUGUCCGGAAUUAUUGGGCGUAAAGAGCUCGUAGGCGGUCUGUCGCGUCGGCUGUGAAAACCCGGGGCUCAACCCCGGGCCUGCAGUCGAUACGGGCAGACUAGAGUGAUGUAGGGGAGACUGGAAUUCCUGGUGUAGCGGUGAAAUGCGCAGAUAUCAGGAGGAACACCGAUGGCGAAGGCAGGUCUCUGGGCAUUAACUGACGCUGAGGAGCGAAAGCAUGGGGAGCGAACAGG